Orcinus orca (killer whale) is the source of this 277-nucleotide long non-coding RNA. RefSeq lists it as uncharacterized. The transcript has 3 exons. NCBI's taxonomy places the organism in Eukaryota, Metazoa, Chordata, Mammalia, Artiodactyla, Delphinidae. The record is from RefSeq and is a predicted model, not a curated record.
AGCUGAGAUGCCGCCGGCACUAGGAGCCCUGGUCCCAAGUGCCUGGGGCAGGGCAUCUCCUUGCAGCCCCUGAUGGGGAAGCGAACCGAGACUAAGCACAAAGGAUUAAAACAAAGAGCUGGAGAGUGAAGAAGAUGGUGGAAAAAGGGAAAGAGCUGAAUGUCUUGUUUUUCCUGAGAAAAUGGAGCUGCCUCCUCUUGGUGGCAACCCCUGGCCUGAGGAACAGUUGAGCCACUUCACUUCAGGGUCUGCUCUCCUCCUGCCUUCUCUCCCCUCC